Molecule: transfer RNA, 73 nt
Filed under: Elusimicrobiota bacterium
Lineage: Bacteria; Pseudomonadati; Elusimicrobiota
Description: tRNA-Thr
Rfam family: tRNA
About the family: Transfer RNA (tRNA) molecules are approximately 80 nucleotides in length. Their secondary structure includes four short double-helical elements and three loops (D, anti-codon, and T loops). Further hydrogen bonds mediate the characteristic L-shaped molecular structure. tRNAs have two regions of fundamental functional importance: the anti-codon, which is responsible for specific mRNA codon recognition, and the 3' end, to which the tRNAs corresponding amino acid is attached (by aminoacyl-tRNA synthetases). tRNAs cope with the degeneracy of the genetic code in two manners: having more than one tRNA (with a specific anti-codon) for a particular amino acid; and 'wobble' base-pairing, i.e. permitting non-standard base-pairing at the 3rd anti-codon position.
Source: RNAcentral
GCCGAUGUAGCUCAGCUGGUAGAGCAACGGUUUUGUAAACCGUAGGUCGUAGGUUCAAAUCCUAUCGUCGGCU